GCAGUUCUCACUGGACCUGGGGAGGUGUUCCAAUGAGGGCAACAGUACAGCAUCUGGUCUGGAUGGCAAAUACUGUUCCUCUGCCUCAUCCUCCUCCAAGACACUUCGAAUGAGAAACUGGAAUGAAGGAGUCUCUCUUAGAACACUGAGUGGACCGCGAACGUAUCGACCAUAUAGCAGUUCAAAUGGGGAGAAUCCUGUUGAUGACUGCGGAACCUCUCGAUAUGCGAAAAGCAGGUUUAUCCUUACCAGAGGAUAGGUGACCUCUUCACCGUGAACACACCUCAGAACUACGCUCUGCCCCGACUCAACCACUUGGCCCUCCAGACACUCUCGUCUCAC
Polypterus senegalus (gray bichir) is the source of this 342-nucleotide long non-coding RNA. RefSeq lists it as uncharacterized. The record is from RefSeq and is a predicted model, not a curated record. The transcript is spliced from 4 exons. NCBI's taxonomy places the organism in Eukaryota, Metazoa, Chordata, Cladistia, Polypteriformes, Polypteridae.